Molecule: small RNA, 28 nt
Filed under: Bombyx mori (domestic silkworm)
Lineage: Eukaryota; Metazoa; Arthropoda; Insecta; Lepidoptera; Bombycidae
Description: ovarian small RNA-22701
Source: RNAcentral
UAGGCACUAAUACAAAAAACUUACAAAA